AGUGAACGCUGGCGGUAGGCCUAACACAUGCAAGUCGAACGGCAGCACAGUAAGAGCUUGCUCUUACGGGUGGCGAGUGGCGGACGGGUGAGGAAUACAUCGGAAUCUACUUUUUCGUGGGGGAUAACGUAGGGAAACUUACGCUAAUACCGCAUACGACCUACGGGUGAAAGCAGGGGAUCUUCGGACCUUGCGCGAUUGAAUGAGCCGAUGUCGGAUUAGCUAGUUGGCGGGGUAAAGGCCCACCAAGGCGACGAUCCGUAGCUGGUCUGAGAGGAUGAUCAGCCACACUGGAACUGAGACACGGUCCAGACUCCUACGGGAGGCAGCAGUGGGGAAUAUUGGACAAUGGGCGCAAGCCUGAUCCAGCCAUACCGCGUGGGUGAAGAAGGCCUUCGGGUUGUAAAGCCCUUUUGUUGGGAAAGAAGAGCAGCAGGUUAAUACCCCGCUGUUCCGACGGUACCCAAAGAAUAAGCACCGGCUAACUUCGU
RNAcentral lists this ribosomal RNA (491 nucleotides) under uncultured bacterium. Its description in RNAcentral is "partial 16S ribosomal RNA". It matches the Rfam family "Bacterial small subunit ribosomal RNA", at positions 29 to 506 of the family's 1533-position model. The record is from RNAcentral.